RNAcentral lists this ribosomal RNA (483 nucleotides) under uncultured bacterium. RNAcentral describes it as "partial 16S ribosomal RNA". It matches the Rfam family "Bacterial small subunit ribosomal RNA", at positions 38 to 506 of the family's 1533-position model. The record is from RNAcentral.
AGGGAAAGAGGGAGGGAGGAGGUACACAGGCAAGUCGAACGGCAGCGCGGGCUUCGGCCUGGCGGCGAGUGGCGAACGGGUGAGUAAUGCAUCGGAACGUGCCCAGUAGUGGGGGAUAGCCCGGCGAAAGCCGGAUUAAUACCGCAUACGACCUGAGGGUGAAAGCGGGGGACCGAAAGGCCUCGCGCUAUUGGAGCGGCCGAUGUCGGAUUAGCUAGUUGGUGGGGUAAAGGCUUACCAAGGCGACGAUCCGUAGCUGGUCUGAGAGGACGACCAGCCACACUGGGACUGAGACACGGCCCAGACUCCUACGGGAGGCAGCAGUGGGGAAUUUUGGACAAUGGGGGCAACCCUGAUCCAGCCAUGCCGCGUGCGGGAAGAAGGCCUUCGGGUUGUAAACCGCUUUUGUUCGGGAAGAAAUCCUCUGGGCUAAUACCCCGGGGGGAUGACGGUACCGGAAGAAUAAGCACCGGCUAACUACGU